GAUGAACGCUGGCGGCGUGCCUAAUACAUGCAAGUCGAGCGAACAGAUGAGGAGCUUGCUCCUCUGACGUUAGCGGCGGACGGGUGAGUAACACGUGGAUAACCUACCUAUAAGACUGGGAUAACUUCGGGAAACCGGAGCUAAUACCGGAUAAUAUAUUGAACCGCAUGGUUCAAUAGUGAAAGACGGUUUUGCUGUCACUUAUAGAUGGAUCCGCGCCGCAUUAGCUAGUUGGUAAGGUAACGGCUUACCAAGGCAACGAUGCGUAGCCGACCUGAGAGGGUGAUCGGCCACACUGGAACUGAGACACGGUCCAGACUCCUACGGGAGGCAGCAGUAGGGAAUCUUCCGCAAUGGGCGAAAGCCUGACGGAGCAACGCCGCGUGAGUGAUGAAGGUCUUCGGAUCGUAAAACUCUGUUAUUAGGGAAGAACAAAUGUGUACGUAACUAUGCACGUCUUGACGGUACCUAAUCAGAAAGCCACGGCUAACUACGUG
This 497-nucleotide ribosomal RNA is filed under the name uncultured bacterium. RNAcentral's name for it is "partial 16S ribosomal RNA". It matches the Rfam family "Bacterial small subunit ribosomal RNA", at positions 28 to 507 of the family's 1533-position model. The record is from RNAcentral.